This 375-nucleotide ribosomal RNA is filed under the name uncultured bacterium. RNAcentral's name for it is "bacterial SSU rRNA". It matches the Rfam family "Bacterial small subunit ribosomal RNA", at positions 524 to 898 of the family's 1533-position model. The record is from RNAcentral.
UACGGAGGGUGCGAACGUUAAUCGGAAUCACUGGGCGUAAAGCGCGCGUAGGCGGUCUGUUAAGUGGGAUGUGAAAUCCCCGGGCUUAACCUGGGAAUUGCAUUUCAAACUGGCCGACUAGAGUACGGUAGAGGGAGGUAGAAUUUCCUGUGUAGCGGUGAAAUGCGUAGAUAUAGGAAGGAAUACCAGUGGCGAAGGCGGCCUCCUGGAUCGAUACUGACGCUGAGGCGCGAAAGCGUGGGGAGCAAACAGGAUUAGAUACCCUGGUAGUCCACGCCGUAAACGAUGAGAACUAGCCGUUGGACCCCUUGAGGGUUUAGUGGCGUAGCUAACGCGAUAAGUUCUCCGCCUGGGGAGUACGGCCGCAAGGCUAAA